GCAUAUGACUACUGGCAGGAUCAACCAGGUAGCAUUCCUCAUUGACAUCGAGAACGUAUGAGACAAGCCACGAGGACUCGUUCAACACGUGCACAAUAGUCGUUCGCACGAAGCGUGGGACGCUCGAUUUGGGUAAACAAAGGUACGAGACCUUGUUCCCGCUCAAUGUUCCGUAUCCAAGAGACCACGCACAACAUCAUGGUCCAACAUCCCAAACGCACAUAGGCAGUUCAAGUUGAGGAACACAAUGCGCACUACAAAGUCCAACCUAUGCCGAAUCCCCGAGAGGAGCAACACAAGAUGGAUGAUCGAAUAUUCUUACCAACGAAUGCCCUGAAAGUGGGAAUUCAACACAGAAACCCAACACCGGCCGAUGCGCRAUCAUUCCAACAACUGAAUAUAUGCARGAACAAUACAUUGUCGCUGCUCAAGCAGGGAUCCAACAUAUUGAUACAAGCCAAUCACCACUCA
Molecule: unclassified non-coding RNA, 471 nt
Filed under: Rhynchocorys maxima
Lineage: Eukaryota; Viridiplantae; Streptophyta; Magnoliopsida; Lamiales; Orobanchaceae
Description: partial external transcribed spacer
Source: RNAcentral